This 492-nucleotide ribosomal RNA is filed under the name uncultured bacterium. RNAcentral's name for it is "partial 16S ribosomal RNA". It matches the Rfam family "Bacterial small subunit ribosomal RNA", at positions 28 to 507 of the family's 1533-position model. The record is from RNAcentral.
GAUGAACGCUAGCUACAGGCUUAACACAUGCAAGUCGAGGGGAAACGACAUCGAAAGCUUGCUUUUGAUGGGCGUCGACCGGCGCACGGGUGAGUAACGCGUAUCCAACCUGCCCAUCACUUGGGGAUAACCUUGCGAAAGUAAGACUAAUACCCAAUGAUAUCUCUAGAAGACAUCUGAAAGAGAUUAAAGAUUUAUCGGUGAUGGAUGGGGAUGCGUCUGAUUAGCUCGUUGGCGGGGUAACGGCCCACCAAGGCAACGAUCAGUAGGGGUUCUGAGAGGAAGGUCCCCCACAUUGGAACUGAGACACGGUCCAAACUCCUACGGGAGGCAGCAGUGAGGAAUAUUGGUCAAUGGGCGAGAGCCUGAACCAGCCAAGUAGCGUGCAGGAAGACGGCCCUAUGGGUUGUAAACUGCUUUUAUAAGGGAAUAAAGUGAGAGUCGUGACUCUUUUUGUAUGUACCUUAUGAAUAAGGACCGGCUAAUUCCGUG